AGACAUCGAACCUUGAGAGUGAAAGGCGAUUGCCUUCUGAAUGUGGUAGAUUCGGGUAGCGGUGUCAGCAAAAAUCACUGAGAAAGCAAGGUCAGGCGUGACCGAUUGGACGAACCAGGAUAAUAUCAUCUUGUUGCAGCGAUCCCAUAAAGCAUACUAAGUGGGUUUCUUGUCUGGAGAUGGUCCUUUCAACAUUCCAUCUAUGAAACUAAUCUUAUUCUUGGCGAUAAAGGCGAUGUGGACGACCCAACUCCAGGUAGCAUAAUUUUCCCCAUUCAAUGGUUGGGAAACUAAGGAAUUGUUUGGGUUAUCAGAAUGAUGAAUAUAGUAUGGACUUGAAACGUUUGAAGCUGAAUUGGUGCUAUCGUUUCCAGCCAUGUUGAAAUCUGGAAAACGAGAAUGAAAAUGCUAUGGAAGCCGUGUAAAGUUGAAGAGGCUAUGAAGAGAAAAGCCUACAAUAGGUACACUGCCAGUGAAUGGAGGAACAAGUUCAACGCAUACAUAUCGAACUUAAGCAGAGGACGUCGGUAGUAGAACCAAGUUGUCAGGCCAACCAAGUCCGC
This 563-nucleotide small RNA is filed under the name Malus domestica (apple). RNAcentral describes it as "sRNA MD13G0225100". The record is from RNAcentral. Lineage: Eukaryota; Viridiplantae; Streptophyta; Magnoliopsida; Rosales; Rosaceae.